Long non-coding RNA from Rhea pennata, 320 nucleotides. RefSeq lists it as uncharacterized. Lineage: Eukaryota; Metazoa; Chordata; Aves; Rheiformes; Rheidae. The transcript is spliced from 2 exons. The record is from RefSeq and is a predicted model, not a curated record.
GUUUCUCUCUAAAUAAGGAAGGUUCCCUAGAGAAUAACUCGCUGGAAUUCACUCCCUCAAGAAAUGACUGCAUAGUUUGAUCACUUACAUGAUGGAGUUUCUUUGCCCAAAAUGACUGCAGAAAAGCAAAGCUGACAGUUGCUUUCUUCUGGCACCCUCCUCAGCAACCUGCUCAUAAGCCUUCUCUAGUACUACUGGAUGACUUACUCCAGCAAUUGCAAGGAAGGGACACAGCUCAAACAGUUAAGCAGAGAGUAAACUCACAGAGAAAAAAAAAUAGAAUCAUUUCAAUAAAUAAUUGUAUGCUAGGGCAGCUAAAA